AAAAGAAAAAUUUAGUUUAGGGUUUAAAACCCUAAUGCUGGUUGCAUGGAAAAGCUCAGUUUAGGGUUUAAAACCCUAAUGCUGGCUAAAGGAAAGAGUUCAGUUUAGGGUUUAAAACUCUAAUGCUGACUAAAAAGAAAAAGUUCAGUUUAGGGUUUAAAACCCUAAUGCUGGCUAAAGGAAAAAUUCAGUUUAGGGUUUAAAACCCUAAUGCUGAUUAUAUGGAAAAGCUCAGUUUAGGGUUUAAAACCCUAAUGCUGGCUAAAGGAAAGAGUUCAGUUUAGGGUUUAAAACCCUAAUGCUGACUAAAAGGAAAAAGUUCAGUUUAGGGUUUAAAACCCUAAUGCUGACUGAAAGGAAAAAGUUCAGUUUAGGGUUUAAAACCCUAAUGCUGACUGAAAGGGAAAGGUUCAGUUUAUGGUUUAAAACCCUAAUGCUGACUGGAAGAAAAGCUCAGUUUAGGGUUUAAAACCCUAAUGCUGGCUGAAAGGAAAAAGUUCAGUUUAGGGUUUAAAACCCUAAUGCUGACUGAAAGGAAAAUUCAGUUUAGGGUUUAAAACCCUAAUGCUGAUUGCAUGGAAAAGCUCAGUUUAGGGUUUAAAACCCUAAUGCUGAUUGCAUGAAGAAGCUCAGUUUAGGGUUUAAAACCCUAAUGCUGGCUGAAUGAAAAAGUUCAGUUCAGGGUUUAAAACCCUAAUGCUGACUGGCUGGGGAUAAAGCUCGAGAAUACUACACGAUCUAUUUUUGAGUUUUCUUGUUUUAAUAGAAGAUAAAAGGGAGUUUCGUGGAAGCUUACCUUUCGAGUGAAUUCAUCAUUGCCGAAGUACUUCCUGUACCCGUGUACUUUCUUCUUUGGGCGACACCUGCUUCUCGCACGGUUGUCUUGGAUUGGACCUGUUUCAACCUUUCAGACAAAGGAUCAUUUGUUAGUUCGGAAAUGACGGUCGGUUUGGUGACCUUGAUCGUUUCCAGUUGCUUUCUUGCGUCUUUGUUUCUGUUGUGAAGUUCCGCCAUUGAUUUGAUUUGAAUGGCGAAACCCUUCCAGAUUUUUCAGGCUUGUAUUUCCAGAUUCUGCGAUGAUUUGCCUCGUAAGGCCUCUC
RNAcentral lists this long non-coding RNA (1100 nucleotides) under Nicotiana tabacum (common tobacco). RNAcentral's name for it is "long non-coding RNA (NTAB_LNC008944)". Lineage: Eukaryota; Viridiplantae; Streptophyta; Magnoliopsida; Solanales; Solanaceae. The record is from RNAcentral.